RNAcentral lists this ribosomal RNA (466 nucleotides) under Vreelandella stevensii. RNAcentral's name for it is "partial 16S ribosomal RNA". It matches the Rfam family "Bacterial small subunit ribosomal RNA", at positions 338 to 795 of the family's 1533-position model. The record is from RNAcentral. Lineage: Bacteria; Pseudomonadati; Pseudomonadota; Gammaproteobacteria; Oceanospirillales; Halomonadaceae.
CCUACGGGUGGCUGCAGUGGGGAAUAUUGGACAAUGGGCGAAAGCCUGAUCCAGCCAUGCCGCGUGUGUGAAGAAGGCCUUCGGGUUGUAAAGCACUUUCAGUGGGGAAGAAAGCCUUGGGGCUAAUACCCUCGAGGAAGGACAUCACCCACAGAAGAAGCACCGGCUAACUCCGUGCACAGCAGCCGCGGUAAUACGGAGGGUGCGAGCGUUAAUCGGAAUUACUGGGCGUAAAGCGCGCGUAGGCGGUCUGAUAAGCCGGUUGUGAAAGCCCCGGGCUCAACCUGGGAACGGCAUCCGGAACUGUCAGGCUAGAGUGCAGGAGAGGAAGGUAGAAUUCCCGGUGUAGCGGUGAAAUGCGUAGAGAUCGGGAGGAAUACCAGUGGCCAAGGCGGCCUUCUGGACUGACACUGACGCUGAGGUGCGAAAGCGUGGGUAGCAAACAGGAUUAGAUACCCUGGUAGUC